Long non-coding RNA from Lonchura striata (white-rumped munia), 1676 nucleotides. The record is from Ensembl. NCBI's taxonomy places the organism in Eukaryota, Metazoa, Chordata, Aves, Passeriformes, Estrildidae.
UUUCCCCCCAAAAUCCCGGGAUUUCUCCCCAGAACUCCGGGAUUUCCUCAAAACCCUGCGUUUUCCCCCCCAAAUCCCGGAUUUCCCCCCAAAAUCCCGGGAUUUCCCCCCAAAAUCCCGGGAUUUCCCCCCAAAAUCCCGGAUUUCCCCCCAAAAUCCCGGGAUUUCCCCCCAAAAUCCUGGAUUUCCCCCAGAACUCCGGGAUUUCCUCAAAACCCUGCGUUUUCCCCCCCAAAUCCCGGAUUUCCCCCCAAAAUCCCGGGAUUUCCCCCCAAAAUCCUGGGGUUCCACAUAUAAAUAUUAUAAAUAACAGAGCCCGGGCGGGCGCUGGAAGCUGGGAAGAAUUCCUGGAUUUUGGAGUCGAUUUUUGUGGGAUUUGGGGAAUUUUUUUAAUGGGAUUUGGGGUUUUUUUUUCCAUGGGGGAGGGGGGAUUUACGGUGAGUUUGGGAGGGGCGCCAAUCCUGGGACGGGGAUUUGGGAUUUGGGGAUUUCUGGGAUUUGGGAAUUUGGGAUCCACGUUCUCCGAGGCACAGGGAGGUUCCCAAAUUCUGCCCCUGCUGGGGUUUGGGGUUUGGGAUUUGGGGUUUGGGGUUUGGGGUUUGGGAUUUGGGGUUUGGGGUUUGGGAUUUGGGGUUUGGGGUUUGGAGUUUGGGAUUUGGGGUUUGGGAUUUGGGAUUGGGGUGGGGAAUUUUGGGAUCUGGAUGCUCCCCAGGGAUUUGGGAAUUCCGGGAUCCAGCCCCGCGCUGGCGCGGUGUCCCAGGGGCUGCGCUGUCCCCAAACGCCCCUGGGGGUGUCACAGUGUCCCCAGGGUGUCACACUGUCCCCAGGGGUGUCACAGUGUCCCCAGGGUGUCACAGUGUCCCCAGGGUGUCACACUGUCCCCAGGGGUGUCACAGAGUCCCCAGGGGUGUCACAGUGUCCCCAGGGUGUCACACUGUCCCCAGGGGUGUCACACCUGUCCCCAGGGGUGACACAGCCCAGCCGGGUGACAAUGCUCCUGUUUAUUUACAAGCUGUCGGGGGGAGGUGGCACCGUCCCCGUCCCUGUCCCUGUCCCCAGUGGCUCCCAGUAUCUCCCAGUUGUCCCGGGAGUGGCCCUGCGGCCCCAAGGGGGACAGGGAGGGGACACCAGGACACCUCCCCAAAGUCCCCGUGUCCCCUCGGGCUCCACGGCCGGGAGGAGCGGUGGCACCUCUGGUGGCACCUCUGGUGGCACCUCCUGGGUCACCUCCUGGUGUCUUCAGUGUCACAUCCUGGGUGUCCCCAGCACCAGGUUCUGUCUGUCCCCACUGUCACAGGGUGAAGAUCUCGUCCUGGAUGUCCCCAGUGUCCCAUUCCAGUGUCCCCAAUGUCCCAUUCCAGUGUCCCCAAUGUCCCCACUCUGUGUCCCCUGGCUGUCACAAGGUGCAGAUCCCGUCCUGGUGUCCCCAGUGUCCCAUUCCAGUGUCCCCUGGCUGUCACAGGGUGAAGAUCUCGUCCUGAUGUCCCAUUCCAGUGUCCCCUGGCUGUCACAGGGUGAAGAUCUCAUCCUGCUGUCCCAUUCCAGUGUCCCCAAUGUCCCCUGGCUGUCACAGGGUGAAGAUCUCGUCCUCGGCGUCGCGCAGCGCGGCCGCCCGCGGGCUCCGGCUCAGGGGCCGGGGUCCCAGGCGGGCGCCCCGGGGGGACGCGGGGCCGGGG